UACGUAGGGGGCAAGCGUUGUCCGGAGUUACUGGGCGUAAAGCGCACGCAGGCGGUCAAGUAAGUUUGGAGUGACAGUUGGUGGCUUAACUGCCAAAGUGCUUCGAAAACUGCUCGACUUGAGGGCUUCAGAGGGACACGGAAUUCCGGGUGGAGUGGUGAAAUGCGUAGAUAUUCGCAAGAACACCAGUGGCGAAGGCGGCUCACUGGCCCGGAACUGACGCUGAGACGCGAAAGCGUGGGGAGCAAACAGG
Molecule: ribosomal RNA, 253 nt
Filed under: uncultured prokaryote
Description: partial 16S ribosomal RNA
Rfam family: Bacterial small subunit ribosomal RNA
Source: RNAcentral